GGGGGGUGGUGAGGGGAAGGUGGAGGCCGGCCUGGAAGGAAACCCGGGGGUCAGAGGAACCUGGGGGGCUUCACAAGGCUGGGGAGAGGGGUGUGCUGAAUGUGCUCUGCCACCCAGGUGUCAAGCUCUGGACUCUGGUCUCCAGCUCAGAGUAGAUGAUGCUGCCAGUGGAGACCAGGAGGCCGGUGGGGAGAGCCUGCCUGAUGGGGGAGCAGAGGGGUCCAUGUUCCCUUCCUCAGUCUGGAGACUAUUCCUAGCCUUGGGGCUGCACCUAGGGAUGGACUGAUCCAGGCUGAACCCACAUCUCUGGUGACAUGAGGGGUGAAGGGACUGCUCUGAAAGGUGAGUCCAGCCUCACUGAGGCUGUCAGGCCUCUGAGCAUCCGGCUCCAGGUCACUGGGUGUCAGGCUUCUGCUGGAAGGAGGUGAAGGAGCUUUUCCCACGGUGGCUGUGACCAGGCUCCCCUACCCUUGGCUGCAGAUCCCUGACCCUUCCCCUGGGCAAGCCUGAGUUGUCCAGCCAUGACUGUGUCAUUCAGACAUUCAUUCAUUCGUUCUACAGACUGGCUUGUAACACACCCUGGGUGCCUGACACAGAGCUCAUGGCCAAGAUGCCCACGCAGAUCUGUGCAGCGUCCCUGCUCCCAGGAGCAGCUGAGGACACAGGCUGUCACAAUUGGCCAGACCGAGUGUUGCAGUGGAGAUGGCACAGCCUCGAGUAAAGAAGGGGGCACCCCUCCAGGCAGGGGAGCCAGGUGGGUAAUAUCUGUGCUGAGUAACCAGGCAAACAAAUUGGUGAGGAAGAGCUGGGAAGGGCAUCCAGGCAAAGGGAACAGUGUGAGCAAAGGCCCAGAGCCAGAGGAGAGCCUGGGUGUUCUGGAGCUGUGCGUCACGACUUCCGAAACCAACUCAAGAGAGUUUGUACUGGGUUGAAUGUUGUCCCCCCCGAAUUCAUACUCCCCUGGAACCUCAGAAUGUGACCAUAAUUGGAAAUAAGGCCCUGGUAGAUCUAAUUAGCUAAGAUGGGCUCAUCUGGAUUCAGGUGUCCUUAUAAGAAGAGGGAAAUUUGGACAAAGAUUCGGACACAAGGGGAGAGCACGGUUUGAAGAUGGAGGCAGAGGUUGGAGUGAGGCACCUACAAGCCAAGAAACACCAAGGACGGCAGGCAGCCACCAGAAGCCAGGAGAGAGGCAGGGACAGAUUCGCCCUCGGGAUCUCUGGAAGGAACCAACCCUGCCAACACUGCAAUUUCAGACUUCUGGCCUCCUGAACCAUGAGAGAAUAAAUUUCUAUUGUUUUCUACCUUGUGGCAAUUUGUUACAGCAGCCCUAGGAAACUGAUAGAGAUUUUAAGCAGAAUAUGGGAGUAAGGCAAGGGGUGUAAGGGACUUUCAGGAGAACCCGGGGGCAAGAAUGCAGUGGGACCUCAAAAAGAUACAAAGACCAGGGGCUGAAAAGCCCAAAAUCUUCUCUCUCACCCAGGACCCUCUCUUCCUCCCUGCGCCUCUGCUUCGGGGCUGUCUCUCAGUCUCUCUUUCUCUGCACAGCAGCUUCUUCAAUUGCUUUAGUCCUUUCCAUGGGCUCAAGAGGCCCCAC
RNAcentral lists this long non-coding RNA (1594 nucleotides) under Equus caballus (horse). RNAcentral describes it as "lncRNA (ENSECAG00000048191.1)". The record is from RNAcentral. Lineage: Eukaryota; Metazoa; Chordata; Mammalia; Perissodactyla; Equidae.